CCUACGGGAGGCAGCAGUGGGGAAUAUUGCGCAAUGGGCGAAAGCCUGACGCAGCGACGCCGCGUGAGGGAUGAAGGUCUUCGGAUCGUAAACCUCUGUCAGCAGGGAAGAACGGUCACUGUGCUAAUCAGCAGUGAAUUGACGGUACCUGCAAAGGAAGCACAGGCCAACCCCGUGCCAGCAGCCGCGGUAAAACGGAGGGGGGGAGCGUUAAUCGGAAUUACUGGGCGUAAAGGGGUCGUAGGCGGUAUGUCAAGUCAAGGGGGAAAGCCCCGCGCUCAACGUGGGAACUGCCUUUGAAACUGGCAAACUGGAGUUGGUGAGAGGAUAGUGGAAUUCGAGGUGUAGGAGUGAAAUCCGUAGAUAUCUGGAGGAACAUCAGUGGCGAAGGCGACUAUCUGGCACAUAACUGACGCUGAGGAGCGAAAGCGUGGGUAGCAAACAGGAUUAGAUACCCGAGUAGUC
RNAcentral lists this ribosomal RNA (465 nucleotides) under uncultured bacterium. RNAcentral's name for it is "partial 16S ribosomal RNA". It matches the Rfam family "Bacterial small subunit ribosomal RNA", at positions 338 to 795 of the family's 1533-position model. The record is from RNAcentral.